RNAcentral lists this ribosomal RNA (277 nucleotides) under uncultured bacterium. Its description in RNAcentral is "partial 16S ribosomal RNA". The record is from RNAcentral.
CUGCUGCCUCCCGUAGGAGUCUGGUCCGUGUCUCAGUACCAGUGUGGGGGACCUUCCUCUCAGAACCCCUACGCAUCGUCGGUUAGGUGGGCCGUUACCCCGCCUACUGCCUAAUGCGCCGCAUGCCCAUCCCUGUCCGGCCGAAGCCUUUCCUGCCUCCGGGAUGCCCCGGUGGCAUGUACGCGGGUUUAGCCCGCCUUUCGGCGGGUUGUCCCCCUGACAGGGGCAGGUUCGCAUACGUGUUACUCACCCGUGCGCCGGUCGCCGGCGGAGAAAG